Molecule: ribosomal RNA, 586 nt
Filed under: Rothia dentocariosa
Lineage: Bacteria; Bacillati; Actinomycetota; Actinomycetes; Micrococcales; Micrococcaceae
Description: bacterial SSU rRNA
Rfam family: Bacterial small subunit ribosomal RNA
Source: RNAcentral
GCGCAAGCCUGAUGCAGCGACGCCGCGUGAGGGAUGACGGCCUUCGGGUUGUAAACCUCUGUUAGCAUCGAAGAAGCGAAAGUGACGGUAGGUGCAGAGAAAGCGCCGGCUAACUACGUGCCAGCAGCCGCGGUAAUACGUAGGGCGCGAGCGUUGUCCGGAAUUAUUGGGCGUAAAGAGCUUGUAGGCGGUUGGUCGCGUCUGCUGUGAAAGGCUGGGGCUUAACCCUGGUUUUGCAGUGGGUACGGGCUAACUAGAGUGCAGUAGGGGAGACUGGAAUUCCUGGUGUAGCGGUGGAAUGCGCAGAUAUCAGGAGGAACACCGAUGGCGAAGGCAGGUCUCUGGGCUGUAACUGACGCUGAGAAGCGAAAGCAUGGGGAGCGAACAGGAUUAGAUACCCUGGUAGUCCAUGCCGUAAACGUUGGGCACUAGGUGUGGGGGGACAUUCCACGUUUUCCGCGCCGUAGCUAACGCAUUAAGUGCCCGCCUGGGGAGUACGGCCGCAAGGCUAAAACUCAAAGAAAUUGACGGGGGCCCGCACAAGCGGCGGAGCAUGCGGAUUAAUUCGAUGCAACGCGAAGAACCU